GAUGAACGCUGGCGGCGUGCCUAACGCAUGCAAGUCGAACGAAGAGGCCCCUUCGGGGGUACUUCAGUGGCGGACGGGUGAGUAACACGUAGGUGACCUACCCCGAAGUGGGGAAUAACAGUCCGAAAGGAUUGCUAAUACCCCAUGCGAUCGAUGAGGUUAGAGUCUUAUCGAUUAAAGCAGACCCGCAAGGGUAUGUGCUUCGGGAGGGGCCUGCGCCCCAUCAGCUAGUUGGUAGGGUAAUGGCCUACCAAGGCUACAACGGGUAGGGGGCCUGAGAGGGUGACCCCCCACAUUGGCACUGACACACGGGCCAAACUCCUACGGGAGGCAGCAGUGAGGAAUAUUGCUCAAUGGGCGAAAGCCUGAAGCAGCAACGCCGCGUGCGCGAUGAAGGCCUUCGGGUCGUAAAGCGCUUUUGAGAGGGACGAGAUAGGACGGUACCUCUGGAAUAAGUCACGGCUAACUACGUG
RNAcentral lists this ribosomal RNA (473 nucleotides) under uncultured bacterium. Its description in RNAcentral is "bacterial SSU rRNA". It matches the Rfam family "Bacterial small subunit ribosomal RNA", at positions 28 to 507 of the family's 1533-position model. The record is from RNAcentral.